UACAGAGGUCUCAAGCGUUGUUCGGAUUCAUUGGGCGUAAAGGGUGCGUAGGCGGCGCGGUAAGUCGGGUGUGAAAUCUCGGGGCUUAACUCCGAAACUGCAUUCGAUACUGCCGUGAUUGAGGACUGGAGAGGAGACUGGAAUUUACGGUGUAGCGGUGAAAUGCGUAGAUAUCUGGAGGAACACCGGUGGCGAAGGCGGCAUCCUGGACCAAUUCUGACACUGAGGAGCGAAAGCCAGGGGAGCAAACGGG
This 253-nucleotide ribosomal RNA is filed under the name uncultured bacterium. RNAcentral's name for it is "partial 16S ribosomal RNA". It matches the Rfam family "Bacterial small subunit ribosomal RNA", at positions 524 to 776 of the family's 1533-position model. The record is from RNAcentral.